RNAcentral lists this ribosomal RNA (253 nucleotides) under uncultured bacterium. RNAcentral's name for it is "partial 16S ribosomal RNA". It matches the Rfam family "Bacterial small subunit ribosomal RNA", at positions 524 to 776 of the family's 1533-position model. The record is from RNAcentral.
CACGUAGGGCGCAAGCGUUGUCCGGAAUUAUUGGGCGUAAAGAGCUCGUAGGCGGUCUGUUGCGUCUGCUGUGAAAACCCGGGGCUUAACCCCUGGCUUGCAGUGGAUACGGACAGACUAGAGGUAGGUAGGGGAGAAUGGAAUUCCCGGUGUAGCGGUGAAAUGCGCAGAUAUCGGGAGGAACACCAGAGGCGAAGGCGGGCUACUGGGCCGAUACUGACGCUGAUGCGCGAAAGCCAGGGGAGCAAACGGG